UUUGGCUGUGGGGAGUCUGUGGUUGAGCUCUGCUGAGGGACUCUGAGGUGAGCUAUGAUAGAAGAUGGGAUUCUCUACAUGGAAACUAGGAAGAGGAUUUUGCUGAAGUUGCGUUCAUGUGCUCAGGACUCUUCAGCACUUCAGAUCCCAAGUGAAACAAGAAAUGGGAGGAUGCAGAACAAAGUACACCGUGAUUACUCAGAACUGGGAAUAGCUGCCAGCAAGAGCUGCUCCCAGGGAAAGGCAGUGGCUGUUUACCUGCCCUGCUCAGCCAGUCCAGGGAGGACAGGAGAACAGUUAAAUGGUUUGCCUUCCUCACAAUACUUUUCUGUAACAUGGCUGGAAAGAAAGAAGGAAUCCUACUGACAUUCCUAUUGGUGAAAGUCAGAGCAAAAGGGUCUGGAUCACAUCCAGUAACAGAAUGAAAUCCAGUCCUGUGUCAAGAUGAUGUAACCACCAGGGGAUUGCUGGUUCCAAGCACAGAUUUUAAGAUCUCCAGUGAGCUGUUGCUGAUUCCAGUACAUUGAGACUGGGACCAAGGCAGACCCUGAUCAUCUCUGUGAGGAGGUCAUGCAGAAAACCCAAGGUAACUCCUAACUUGGGUGAGCAGACCAAAAGGAAAGAGUUCAGCAAGAAAGCCUAUGUAUUUCCUAAAGGUGGUGCCUUCAU
Molecule: long non-coding RNA, 669 nt
Organism: Hirundo rustica (Barn swallow)
Lineage: Eukaryota; Metazoa; Chordata; Aves; Passeriformes; Hirundinidae
Exons: 6
Source: RefSeq, a predicted model, not a curated record